RNAcentral lists this ribosomal RNA (562 nucleotides) under Muribaculaceae bacterium. RNAcentral's name for it is "bacterial SSU rRNA". It matches the Rfam family "Bacterial small subunit ribosomal RNA", at positions 1 to 551 of the family's 1533-position model. Lineage: Bacteria; Pseudomonadati; Bacteroidota; Bacteroidia; Bacteroidales; Muribaculaceae. The record is from RNAcentral.
ACAGCGGAGAGUUUGAUCCUGGCUCAGGAUGAACGCUAGCUGCAGGCUUAACACAUGCAAGUCGGACGGCAGCGGGGGGAGGAGCUUGCUCCUCCCCGCCGGCGAGUGGCGCACGGGUGAGUAACACGUAUGCAACCUGCCUCUGUCAGGGGGACAACCUCCCGAAAGGGAGGCUAAUCCCGCAUAUAUCCUCCGGGGGCAUCCCCGGGGGAGGAAAGAUUUAUCGGACAGAGAUGGGCAUGCGGCGCAUUAGGUAGUUGGCGGUGUAACGGACCACCAAGCCGACGAUGCGUAGGGGUUCUGAGAGGAAGGUCCCCCACACUGGUACUGAGACACGGACCAGACUCCUACGGGAGGCAGCAGUGAGGAAUAUUGGUCAAUGGAAGGAAUUCUGAACCAGCCAAGCAGCGUGAAGGAAGAAGGCUCUACGAGUCGUAAACUUCUUUUGUCAAGGAACAAAAUGUCUUACGUGUAAGACACCGAGUGUACUUGAAGAAAAAGCAUCGGCUAACUCCGUGCCAGCAGCCGCGGUAAUACGGAGGAUGCGAGCGUUAUCCGGAUU